UGGGGAAUAUUGGGCAAUGGGGGAAACCCUGACCCAGCAACGCCGCGUGAAGGAAGAAGGCUUUCGGGUUGUAAACUUCUUUUACCAGGGACGAAGGACGUGACGGUACCUGGAGAAAAAUGCUCCGGCUAACUACGUGCCAGCAGCCGCGGUAAUACGUAGGGAGCGAGCGUUGUCCGGAUUUACUGGGUGUAAAGGGCGUGUAGGCGGAGGAGCAAGUCAGAAGUGAAAUCUCCGGGCUUAACCCGGAAACUGCUUUUGAAACUGUUCCCCUUGAGUACUGGAGAGGCAGGCGGAAUUCCUAGUGUAGCGGUGAAAUGCGUAGAUAUUAGGAGGAACACCAGUGGCGAAGGCGGCCUGCUGGACAGCAACUGACGCUGAGGCGCGAAAGCGUGGGGAGCAAACAGGAUUAGAUACCC
RNAcentral lists this ribosomal RNA (419 nucleotides) under uncultured bacterium. Its description in RNAcentral is "bacterial SSU rRNA". It matches the Rfam family "Bacterial small subunit ribosomal RNA", at positions 355 to 787 of the family's 1533-position model. The record is from RNAcentral.